GUGGGUGGUGGGUGGACCCUCUGAAAAGAUCUCUGGCUUUAUCCGACUCUGAAGUUUCGCCAUUUAUCCGAAGCUCGAAGAUUUUAGAUUUACACUACCAACCCUGAAAACCCAUUUCACCAUUCCAGGGAUAUGAAAGUUGAAACAUAAAGAAACUAGUCGAGGAGGACCACAACAAGGUUGAUUUGUUUCUGGCAAGAGUAGAAGAUCAGCAGAUAUGAAAUUCAACAAUUCAAGAGCCAUGAUACAGUUUUACAUGUGUUCAUUCUUCAUAAAGCUACUGGGGGAAAGAGUCUGAUUGUUUGGCACUGUGUAAGAAUGAAAAUUUUCAAGAUAGCUUUACCUUUGUUCCGGAUGAAGAAAUGGUCUGGUGGCAUGGUGAUUAUAGCUCUUGCUGUAAUCUUGGUUUUUAGUUAUAGCCUACUGAGAACCCAGCCACAGAAAAAACAGUCAGCUUAUGAUUUUUUCAGAAAUCAUCCAGCUAAUGAUUCUCAUGUGACGGACACCUCUCGCAUUAGACCUCCUCAAGUGGAAGUAGGAAAAGCAACAAAAUUAUCAAAAAAACUACAUUUUAUAAAUUUUGAAGGACUUAAUGACCUGUAUGCCCCAAACAAUAUUUCCAAGGAAGAGUCAAAGGCCUUGCUGGUAUGGAGUCAGAUGCGUCUGCUAUUGUCCAGGUCUGAUGCUUUGCCUGAAACAGCUCAAGGGAUCAAAGAGGCUUCAAUAGCAUGGAAGGAUUUAUCGUCCAUAAUUGAGGAAGAGAAAGCUGCCAAGUCUCACAUCAUUGACAAACAGGAAGAUAAAAACUGUCCUUACUCUAUAAAUGCUAUUGAUAUAAUGACAUCAAGCAAUGGAACAGUUUUUGAUAUACCUUGCGGUCUUGUUGAAGAUUCCUCCAUUACAAUAGUUGGCAUUCCUAAUGGGCACAAUGGAAGCUUUCAAGUUGAACUUGAAGGCUCCCAGCUUCGAGGAGAGCAAAACCAUCCUAUUAUCUUGCAUUACAGAGUAAGCCUACCUGGAGACAAUAUGACAGACGAGCCUUUUAUUGUUCAGAAUACAUGGAGUAAUGAACAUGGUUGGGGCAAAGAGGAGAAAUGUCCUGCUCAUGGAUCUGCUAACAACCCAAAGCCAAAAGUUGAUGGACUUGUUCUUUGCAAUGAACAAAUUGUCAGAAGCACGGUGGAAGAGACUCUAAAUGCAAGUCAUCCUGGUAGAGACAUUUUAGCUAAUGUUUCCCAAGGAAGCGCUUAUGCAAGUGCUAAUUUCCCAUUCUCUAAGGGGAAUCCUUUCACUGCUACAUUUUGGGUUGGUUCAGAGGGAUUCCAUAUGACUGUGAAUGGAAGGCACGAAACAUCUUUUGCAUAUAGGGAGAAACUUGAACCAUGGGCAGUGAGUGGAGUCAAAGUAGAUGGUGGUUUUGAUAUGUUAUCUGUCUUAGCCAAAGGGUUGCCUGUUUCUGAAGAUCAUGAUUUAGUCGUUGAUGUUGAGCUCCUCAAAGCCCCAGUGACAAAAAAGAAAAGACUAGCAAUGUUGGUUGGGGUUUUUUCCACUGGAAAUAAUUUUGAGCGCCGAAUGGCACUGAGAAGGUCUUGGAUGCAGUAUGAGGCUGUACAUUCAGGGGAUGUAGCUGUCCGAUUUUUCAUUGGUCUUCACAAGAACAGUCAAGUCAACUUUGAGCUGUGGAAAGAAGCUCAAGCAUAUGGAGAUGUGCAAUUGAUGCCUUUUGUUGAUUAUUAUAGUCUGAUUAGUUUGAAAACAAUUGGAAUUUGUAUUAUGGGGACCAAAAUUCUCCCUGCUAAAUAUAUCAUGAAAACAGAUGAUGAUGCUUUUGUUAGGAUUGAUGAAGUUCUUACUAGUCUCAAGGGAAAAGCAUCUAAUGGCCUGUUAUAUGGUCUUAUGUCCUUCGACUCAUCACCACAUAGGGAAAAGGACAGCAAAUGGUAUAUCAGUAAUGAGGUAACCAUAAUCUUAUAUUCAUAACUAAAGUCACAUAUUGAUGAUAUUUGUUUUGCUAUAUUACUUCUUCCUUUUCUCAACUGCCAUUUUACUCGGAUAGGCAUUCUUUUGUGCAGGAGUGGCCUCAUUCUUCGUAUCCACCAUGGGCACAUGGCCCAGGAUAUAUUGUCUCUCGAAAUGUUGCAAAGUUCAUUGCUCAGGGCCACCAAGAAAGAGAUCUCAAGGUAAAUAUCUCUUGCUUACUUGUUACUAGAAAAUUUUAUCAUAUGUUUAAUGCUAGUAUGUUUGAAUUGUCCAAAACAUGCCUCCUCAGCUUGAUAAGACAGUUAGAUUAUAGCAUUGAAAGAGAGAUAAGAAAAGGGCAAAAAGAAAGCAGAAAGUCCAAAAGAAUAUUUAAGCUCCAUUUGGGAUUGUGGUUGGAUGGUCACUAGUAAGCACCAUUUUGGAUGUUGAAAAAGCAAUUUAAAAAAGUUGUUUUUUUGUUUUGAGUUUUAAUUAUUAAAAUAUAUCAAAUUUAAAUUAAAUCAAAAUUUGAAAAUUCUUAUUAAAUUUUUUUGCAAUAAUAUUUUAUCAAUGGCUCAAACAAUAAUGCCAAUCAAACCCUUAGGCAAGUGCAAAGACUUGACCUUUAGAUGAUAGCAGAAAUCUUUGGUGAAAUAGUGUAGCAAUUAGGUUUCAACAGGCUAUAUGCUUUAUGAGCUGCAAACUCCAUUCCGCCAUUGAGAUUCAACUCCUUGUUGCUUCGAUUUAUAACGAAGAAAAUAAAAAUAAUAAUGAGCACCGAAGUUAAUCUGACAAAGUUGCCGUGUUGUUUCUCUCAUGUCUAUGCUUUUUGUAGUUAUUUAAACUGGAAGAUGUUGCAAUGGGAAUUUGGAUUGAACAGUUCAAGAAGAGCGGUCAAGAAGUGCAUUACAUAAGUGACGAGAGGUUUCACAAUACUGGAUGUGAAUCAAAUUAUAUUCUUGCUCAUUACCAAAGCCCAAGGUUGGUAUUAUGUCUUUGGGAGAAGUUGCAGAAAGAGCAUCAGCCUAAUUGCUGCGAGUAAUCACGUGAACCUAGCUGAACGUUCAAGAGUGAUUUUCUUCUUAGGCCAAGGAGUCUGUGUUGGGGUCACAGCUUUUUAGGAUUGGCUCUAUUGUGUUUGGUGUAGUCAUAUCUGUUUGUUGACAUUAAUCACACUCAUAUGACGGAUGAAAUGAUUGAUUAGCAAAUGUUGAGGAUCUUCUUGUUGGUGUAAGUUACUAAUUUAAUAUAAAUUCUUUUCUAUUCUUUAAAUUGAAUUUUACUUGU
This 3246-nucleotide unclassified non-coding RNA is filed under the name Hevea brasiliensis (rubber tree). The record is from RNAcentral. Lineage: Eukaryota; Viridiplantae; Streptophyta; Magnoliopsida; Malpighiales; Euphorbiaceae.